UCUCUGUCCCUGAGACCCUUAACCUGUGAGGAAGACUGAUGUCACAGGUGAGGUUCUGAGGAGCUGGG
This 68-nucleotide microRNA precursor is filed under the name Pelobates cultripes (western spadefoot toad). The record is from RNAcentral. Lineage: Eukaryota; Metazoa; Chordata; Amphibia; Anura; Pelobatidae.